GAUGAAGAACGUAGCGAAAUGCGAUACUUGGUGUGAAUUGCAGAAUCCCGUGAACCAUCGAGUCUUUGAACGCAAGUUGUGCCCGAAGCCACUAGGCCGAGGGCACGCCUGCCUGGGUGUCACACGUCGUUGCCCCCCCCCCAUCUACUCCUUCGGGAUUGCGGGGGGCGGAUGAUGGCCUCCCGUGCGCCUAGCCGCGCGGUUGGCAUAAAUACCAAGUCCUCGGCGACGCACGCCACGACAAUCGGUGGUUGCGAAACCUCGGUUGCCCGUCGUGUGCGUUCGUCGCGCAUCGAGGGCUCAAAAAAAUGCUCGGCUCCGGCUGGGCUUUCAACGCGACCCCAGGUCAGGCGGGGUUACCCGCUGAAUUUAAGCAUAUCAAUAAGCGGAGGA
Molecule: unclassified non-coding RNA, 393 nt
Filed under: soil metagenome
Description: partial contains 5.8S ribosomal RNA, internal transcribed spacer 2, and large subunit ribosomal RNA
Rfam family: 5.8S ribosomal RNA (bases 1-122)
Source: RNAcentral